RNAcentral lists this non-coding RNA (175 nucleotides) under unclassified sequences. Its description in RNAcentral is "malK-I RNA". It matches the Rfam family "malK-I RNA". The record is from RNAcentral.
UUAUUGGCGUGCGGAGCUCUCCAUACCUUAGCUCCGUUCAGCACAGAAAAGGAGGAAAUUAUUCCCUGAGGCUCAGGGUGCGGCAGUGUGGAGACCUGUCGUAAUGCGGGUGGCGAUGCCCCUGCGAGACCGCUGCAGCGGAGGCUCAGCGGCCGGAGUCAAGAAAAGUAUGGCA